RNAcentral lists this ribosomal RNA (603 nucleotides) under Coxiella-like endosymbiont. Its description in RNAcentral is "bacterial SSU rRNA". It matches the Rfam family "Bacterial small subunit ribosomal RNA", at positions 841 to 1445 of the family's 1533-position model. The record is from RNAcentral. Lineage: Bacteria; Pseudomonadati; Pseudomonadota; Gammaproteobacteria; Legionellales; Coxiellaceae.
UUUUUAGCGAGCUACGCGUUAGUUCUCCGCCUGGGGAGUACGGCCGCAAGGUUAAAACUCAAAGAAAUUGACGGGGGCCCGCACAAGCGGUGGAGCAUGUGGUUUAAUUCGAUGCAACGCGAAAAACCUUACCUACCCUUGACAUCCUCGGAACUUGUCAGAGAUGACAAGGUGCCCUUUGGGAGCCGAGUGACAGGUGCUGCAUGGCUGUCGUCAGCUCGUGUCGUGAGAUGUUGGGUUAAGUCCCGUAACGAGCGCAACCCUCGUCCUUAGUUGCCAGCGGUUCGGCCGGGAACUCUAAGGAGACUGCCGGUGAUAAACUGGAGGAAGGUGGGGAUGAUGUCAAGUCAUCAUGGCCCUUACGGGUAGGGCUACACACGUGCUACAAUGGGCAAUACAAAGGGUUGCCAAACCGUGAGGUGGAGCUAAUCCCAGAAAAUUGCUCGUAGUCCGGAUUGAAGUCUGCAACUCGACUUCAUGAAGUUGGAAUCGCUAGUAAUCGCGAAUCAGAAUGUCGCGGUGAAUACGUUCUCGGGCCUUGUACACACCGCCCGUCACACCAUGGAAGUGAAUUGUACCAGAAGGGGGUAGGCACUCUCCCCA